This 87-nucleotide transfer RNA is filed under the name bacterium. RNAcentral describes it as "tRNA-Ser". It matches the Rfam family "tRNA". Rfam says of the family: Transfer RNA (tRNA) molecules are approximately 80 nucleotides in length. Their secondary structure includes four short double-helical elements and three loops (D, anti-codon, and T loops). Further hydrogen bonds mediate the characteristic L-shaped molecular structure. tRNAs have two regions of fundamental functional importance: the anti-codon, which is responsible for specific mRNA codon recognition, and the 3' end, to which the tRNAs corresponding amino acid is attached (by aminoacyl-tRNA synthetases). tRNAs cope with the degeneracy of the genetic code in two manners: having more than one tRNA (with a specific anti-codon) for a particular amino acid; and 'wobble' base-pairing, i.e. permitting non-standard base-pairing at the 3rd anti-codon position. The record is from RNAcentral.
GGAAGCGUGCCGGAGUGGUUGAACGGGCUGGUCUUGAAAACCAGAAGGUCCGAAAGGGCCUCGGAGGUUCGAAUCCUCCCGCUUCCG